RNAcentral lists this ribosomal RNA (695 nucleotides) under Sanguibacter sp. XYL_455. RNAcentral describes it as "bacterial SSU rRNA". It matches the Rfam family "Bacterial small subunit ribosomal RNA", at positions 576 to 1271 of the family's 1533-position model. Lineage: Bacteria; Bacillati; Actinomycetota; Actinomycetes; Micrococcales; Sanguibacteraceae. The record is from RNAcentral.
CGGUUUGUCGCGUCUGGUGUGAAAACUCAAGGCUCAACCUUGAGCUUGCAUCGGGUACGGGCAGACUAGAGUGUGGUAGGGGUGACUGGAAUUCCUGGUGUAGCGGUGGAAUGCGCAGAUAUCAGGAGGAACACCGAUGGCGAAGGCAGGUCACUGGGCCACUACUGACGCUGAGGAGCGAAAGCAUGGGGAGCGAACAGGAUUAGAUACCCUGGUAGUCCAUGCCGUAAACGUUGGGCACUAGGUGUGGGGCUCAUUCCACGAGUUCCGCGCCGCAGCUAACGCAUUAAGUGCCCCGCCUGGGGAGUACGGCCGCAAGGCUAAAACUCAAAGGAAUUGACGGGGGCCCGCACAAGCGGCGGAGCAUGCGGAUUAAUUCGAUGCAACGCGAAGAACCUUACCAAGGCUUGACAUACACCGGAAUCAUGCAGAGAUGUGUGCGUCUUCGGACUGGUGUACAGGUGGUGCAUGGUUGUCGUCAGCUCGUGUCGUGAGAUGUUGGGUUAAGUCCCGCAACGAGCGCAACCCUCGUCCUAUGUUGCCAGCACGUCAUGGUGGGGACUCAUAGGAGACUGCCGGGGUCAACUCGGAGGAAGGUGGGGAUGACGUCAAAUCAUCAUGCCCCUUAUGUCUUGGGCUUCACGCAUGCUACAAUGGCCGGUACAAAGGGCUGCGAUACCGCGAGGUGGAGCGAA